RNAcentral lists this long non-coding RNA (240 nucleotides) under Elaeis guineensis (African oil palm). Its description in RNAcentral is "long non-coding RNA (EGUI_LNC016026)". Lineage: Eukaryota; Viridiplantae; Streptophyta; Magnoliopsida; Arecales; Arecaceae. The record is from RNAcentral.
UCAUGUUAAAAAUGCUAUGCGAUAUUAUCUUGGUUUACUCGACUCAAUAUUUUUCUUAAAUUUGACAAAUUUAUCCAUACAAUAUUUUUCAUAUCUAUCUCUCCGUGGGAAGUACCUUACUACCUUCAUGUCCUUCAAAAAUAUUUUUUAUAAAUAGUUUAAGAAGAAACAUAUUUUGCAUUAGGCGUCCCUUACUUUAUGGGUUUUUCGAUUUAUACUCGAGCAAAGGUAAAAGUAUUA